UGGACUUGAGAUCACCACAGACCAAAGGCCAUAAAUCAAGGCCAAGAUCUGAUUUACAAUAAAGAAAAAACCACAGAUCUGAUUUACAGAAGUGAGAGGGUUAGAGAGAAGAAAAAUCGCCUAAGAGUCAAACUAGAACCCAACUAAAUGUAAAAUGAAUGCCACACAAACCAUCUGUCGGGCCAAGUCAAGAGUCAACACAAAUGAAUCUAAACCACAGCCGUUGAUCUUGAUCAACUUUCC
This 243-nucleotide long non-coding RNA is filed under the name Olea europaea (common olive). RNAcentral describes it as "long non-coding RNA (OEUR_LNC014104)". The record is from RNAcentral. Lineage: Eukaryota; Viridiplantae; Streptophyta; Magnoliopsida; Lamiales; Oleaceae.